GAUGAACGCUGACAGAAUGCUUAACACAUGCAAGUCAACUUGAACUUCGGUUUGGGUGGCGGACGGGUGAGUAACGCGUAAAGAACUUGCCUCACAGCUAGGGACAACAUUUGGAAACGAAUGCUAAUACCUGAUAUUAUGAUUUCAGGGCAUCCUAGAAUUAUGAAAGCUAUAUGCGCUGUGAGAGAGCUUUGCGUCCCAUUAGCUAGUUGGAGAGGUAACGGCUCACCAAGGCGAUGAUGGGUAGCCGGCCUGAGAGGGUGAACGGCCACAAGGGGACUGAGACACGGCCCUUACUCCUACGGGAGGCAGCAGUGGGGAAUAUUGGACAAUGGACCAAGAGUCUGAUCCAGCAAUUCUGUGUGCACGAUGAAGUUUUUCGGAAUGUAAAGUGCUUUCAGUUGGGAAGAAAAAAAUGACGGUACCAACAGAAGAAGUGACGGCUAAAUACGUG
This 454-nucleotide ribosomal RNA is filed under the name uncultured bacterium. Its description in RNAcentral is "partial 16S ribosomal RNA". It matches the Rfam family "Bacterial small subunit ribosomal RNA", at positions 28 to 507 of the family's 1533-position model. The record is from RNAcentral.